RNAcentral lists this unclassified non-coding RNA (147 nucleotides) under soil metagenome. RNAcentral's name for it is "partial internal transcribed spacer 1". The record is from RNAcentral.
UCAAAAGUCAGUCGGUGCUGAUAAGCCGCCGUCUACACCCAUGUCUUUUGUGUACUCUUGUUUUCCUCGGUGGCGUAAGCUGCCGGUUGGACAUUAUCAAAACCUUUUUGUAGUUGCAAUCAGCGUCAGAAAAAAUCAUAAUUAUUA